AUAGGGCGUUUAGUUGCUGGGUAUAGACCCGAAACCAGGCGAUCUAUCCAUGAGCAGGUUGAAGGUUGGGUAACACUAACUGGAGGACCGAACCCACUGUCGUUGAAAAGCCAGGGGAUGACUUGUGGAUAGGGGUGAAAGGCUAAUCAAGCCUGGUGAUAGCUGGUUCUCCCCGAAAGCUAUUUAGGUAGCGCCUCGGACGAAUACCAUAGGGGGUAGAGCACUGUUUCGGCUAGGGGGUCAUCCCGACUUACCAAACCGAUGCAAACUCCGAAUACCUAUGAGUACUAUCCGGGAGACAGACUGCGGGUGCUAACGUCCGUAGUCAAGAGGAAAACAAUCCAGACCGCCAGCUAAGGCCCCAAAAUCAUAGUUAAGUGGGAAACGAUGUGGGAAGGCAUAGACAGCUAGGAGGUUGGCUUAGAAGCAGCCACCCUUUAAAGAAAGCGUAAUAGCUCACUAGUCGAGUCGGCCUGCGCGGAAGAUGUAACGGGGCUAAAACUAUGUGCCGAAGCUGCGGAUGUAUACUUUGUAUACGUGGUAGGGGAGCGUUCUGUAAGCCGAUGAAGGUGUGUUGAGAAGCAUGCUGGAGGUAUCAGAAGUGCGAAUGCUGACGUGAGUAACGACAAAACGGGUGAAAAACCCGUUCGCCGAAAGACCAAGGGUUCCAGUCCAACGUUAAUCGGGGCUGGGUGAGUCGACCCCUAAGGCGAGGCCGAAAGGCGUAGUCGAUGGGAAAAUGGUUAAUAUUCCAUUACUUCUGUGUAAUGCGAUGAGAGGACGGAGAAGGCUAAAUCAGCCUGGCG
This 806-nucleotide ribosomal RNA is filed under the name Acinetobacter baumannii. Its description in RNAcentral is "partial 23S ribosomal RNA". It matches the Rfam family "Bacterial large subunit ribosomal RNA", at positions 687 to 1497 of the family's 2925-position model. Lineage: Bacteria; Pseudomonadati; Pseudomonadota; Gammaproteobacteria; Moraxellales; Moraxellaceae. The record is from RNAcentral.